Molecule: small RNA, 107 nt
Filed under: Marmota monax (woodchuck)
Lineage: Eukaryota; Metazoa; Chordata; Mammalia; Rodentia; Sciuridae
Source: RNAcentral
UCCAGGAGCUGUGGCCCACACCUGUAAUCCCAGUGACUCAGGAGGCUGAGGCAGGAGGAUCAUAAGUUUGAGAUCAGCCAGGGCAACUUAAUGAGAUCCUGUCUCAU